Molecule: ribosomal RNA, 468 nt
Filed under: uncultured bacterium
Lineage: Bacteria
Description: partial 16S ribosomal RNA
Rfam family: Bacterial small subunit ribosomal RNA
Source: RNAcentral
GACGAACGCUGGCGGCGUGCUUAACACAUGCAAGUCGAACGGAAAGGCCCUGCUUUUGUGGGGUGCUCGAGUGGCGAACGGGUGAGUAACACGUGAGUAACCUGCCCUUGACUUAGGGAUAACUUCAGGAAACUGGGGCUAAUACCGGAUAGGAGCUCCUGCUGCAUGGUGGGGGUUGGAAAGUUUCGGCGGUUGGGGAUGGACUCGCGGCUUAUCAGCUUGUUGGUGGGGUAGUGGCUUACCAAGGCUUUGACGGGUAGCCGGCCUGAGAGGGUGACCGGCCACAUUGGGACUGCGAUACGGCCCAGACUCCUACGGGAGGCAGCAGUGGGGAAUAUUGCACAAUGGGCCGAAGCCUGAUGCAGCAACGCCGCGUGCGGGAUGACGGCCUUCGGGGUGUAAACCGCUUUCGCCUGUGACGAAGCGUGAGUGACGGUAAUGGGUAAAGAAGCACCGGCUAACUACGUG